Molecule: ribosomal RNA, 622 nt
Filed under: Sphingobacteriaceae bacterium Ri1Pt_3847
Lineage: Bacteria; Pseudomonadati; Bacteroidota; Sphingobacteriia; Sphingobacteriales; Sphingobacteriaceae
Description: bacterial SSU rRNA
Rfam family: Bacterial small subunit ribosomal RNA
Source: RNAcentral
UGCCGCGUGCAGGAAGACGGCCCUACGGGUUGUAAACUGCUUUUGUACGGGAAUAAUUCCUAUUAUGUAUAAUAGGUUGAAUGUACCGUAAGAAUAAGGAUCGGCUAACUCCGUGCCAGCAGCCGCGGUAAUACGGAGGAUCCGAGCGUUAUCCGGAAUUAUUGGGUUUAAAGGGUGCGUAGGCGGCCCGGUAAGUCAGGGGUGAAAGACGGUGGCUCAACCAUCGCAGUGCCUUUGAUACUGCCGGGCUUGAAUAUACUUGAGGUGGGCGGAAUGUGACAAGUAGCGGUGAAAUGCAUAGAUAUGUCACAGAACGCCGAUUGCGAAGGCAGCUCACUAAGGUAAGAUUGACGCUGAGGCACGAAAGCGUGGGGAUCAAACAGGAUUAGAUACCCUGGUAGUCCACGCCCUAAACGAUGAACACUCGGUGCUGGCGAUAUACGGUCAGUGCCCAAGCGAAAGCGUUAAGUGUUCCACCUGGGGAGUACGCCCGCAAGGGUGAAACUCAAAGGAAUUGACGGGGGCCCGCACAAGCGGAGGAGCAUGUGGUUUAAUUCGAUGAUACGCGAGGAACCUUACCCGGGCUUGAAAGUUAGUGAAGUAUCCAGAGAUGGAUACGUCC